GUCGCCUUGUCCGCAGGCAGAGUUGGGAUCACACCAGCUCUUUGCUCUCCCAUCUCUCGGGUCGCCCCCUCCUGGGCCUGAAGCCCCAGGGAGAGACACCCUGCUUUGCAACCUGCGCCCCCCGGUGUACGGGGCUGUGUUUUGCUGUUGCUAUAGGGCACUUAGAGACCCCAGCCGUGGCCAAGUACGUGUCUCCAUGGUUCUCACGCCGUUCGCGGUUCCCACAACCUCCCUCACACCUGGCUGAGCUCCGGAACAACAGAAAAACAGUGCUGGGGCUGAAAACAGCCUCCUCACACCUCUGUGGUGUGUAGCUUUAGAGACGCACCUCUAAAGCCUGCAUCUUAGAGACGCUGAGACUCACAGAGGUCACGGCAUUUUCUCAGGUGUCCCCAGCUGGUGAGUAGAAAGGUAAGGGCCAGAACCCGGGUCCGCAGGCUCUCCCCCUGGUGUGUUUUUCUACGAUAGCAUUGCAUGUGCACCCGUGUACCUGGGGUUCACCUUGGAAAUGCGUCGGGCCCAGGGGGUAAAUGCACCCGGGAUUCGUGCCCACACUGGGCCUCUGAAGACUGGGUCGGAGAUUAGGAGGGUCUGUAAGAGCUCUCUUUACAGGCCAAAGCACGUGGGCUCAAUUUUCAGGGCGAGGAUGGUUAGGGGGAAUGCAGGACUUAAGUGUCACAAGGGACCCCGCUGCACCUCCUUGCAGGGCUCCGGGCACGUGGAGUCCAAGCCAGAGAGACCAGAGCAGCGUGCUGACUCCCCGCCCAAGCCUCCAUCCCAGGCCUGCCCUUCGGCUCACUGCCGUGUUUCCAAGACGUGGAAUGGGCUUACAAGGAAUGAGUCGUGGGACAUGCUACUCCUGCCUUGUCUCCCAGACCAUGGAAGUCCAGGGAUCCACAGACUCCUCCUCUAAGUCCUACAUCUCAAAAACCAUCAGCCAGACUGUGAAUUGAAGGAAAGACGCAAGCUCCUGGCAAGUCCUGAAGAUUCCUGCCCAGGAACCAGCAAGCAUGUGCCUUUGUCCUUGCUGAUGCUGUAGAGGUUUGCUCUACUUCCCAUCCAAGAUAUUUUCUUAUCGGUGGACUAGGUGAUACCUUCUUUUCUUUUCCUUCUUUCACAUCUGAUCUAUCCUUGCCAGCAGAAGGAGCGCAUCCAAGUCUGUGCUUCUAAACCAGAAUGGCUUGGUUGGCAUCUCCAUCUCCCUCUGGACCGUACGUGACAUGAAGGCCCACACCGGUCAUGUCCCUACUGUCCCACAGCGAGGGAUGCACACGAGGGGAGGGCUUAAAGCUGAGUGCCUGUGGGGAAGACAGCUGUGGGGACCGAUGCCCAUUCCAGAGAACGAGUUCAAUUCUGUCCCCGGCAUUUGCAGACAGCAGGGAGACUCCUCCAAGCAGCAUCACCGUGGGCUGUCAUAGCUGAGUCUAGAGCCAGGGUGAGGCGCUAGGAGCAGGAGCGAAGAUCUGCAGCAGAGGUGACAGUUGAGGACCCGAGGGAGGGACCACUCUCAGAGGAGUAAGGGAAAGGAAGAAACCAGGGUUGGCUCUUGGAGGACCACCCCAGGUCUUUCUGCCACGAAGGACGGGGCGGGGGAGGGGACCCACAGGCACCAACUGUCCGUGCAGACAGGGCCUGAAUUAGACCCCAAAAUGAUGGUCCUAAUAGUGAACACUUAUUGAAAACUGAUUAUGGGCUACAUCUUGCUUCAAGUAUUUGAUGUCUAUCAUUUCAGCAAAUCCCGGUGACGACCGUCUGUGGUAUGGCCCCACUCUCCAGGUAAAGAAACGAAGCACAGAGAGUUUAAAUUAUAUGCCCGAGAUCAUAAAGCUGCUAAGUGUUCAGCCUCAAGAGCACUCCACACCCUCUUCCUUGACAUCUUCCCACUAAUUUUAGUUACUGAUUUCUUUUCUAUAAUCUGUUGAUCACCCCAUUUCACUGGAUCCACACAGAAAAAAAAUCACAGUAUAUCCCAUUUGACAUUCCAGCCCUGACUUUCUUCAGGCCAGUCCAAAAGCUGUUAAUGCAAUUACCGCUUGAAUCUAGAGGAGAAAGAAAUACUCCCAUCUAUUCACGUUGCAGUUGUUACUAUCUGGUCACCAGAGAGUGACCUUUCAGGUGACACAAGAGCUACACCCAAUUAAGAGAGAUGAUUCCUUGAAAGCCCAAGGCCACGAAUAAUUGAAACCCUCCAGCCAGAGCAGAGGCAGGUCAGAGCAGGGUUUCCUUAGUAGAUAAAUUAGGCCAUGGUAACUUCACGAAAAACCUAUUCCCUGUGGUUUCUGUUGCCACUGCUUCCUUUAGGAUCACGAUUGCAAGAAGAACACGGGAUUUUUCUCAGUCAGGGGCUGUGGGACAAUAACGUAUAUAUCAUAAUAUGUAACAUAAUAAAAAUAUAUCAUGUAUUUAUAUACA
Vulpes vulpes (red fox) is the source of this 2412-nucleotide long non-coding RNA. NCBI's taxonomy places the organism in Eukaryota, Metazoa, Chordata, Mammalia, Carnivora, Canidae. The record is from Ensembl.